This 21-nucleotide microRNA is filed under the name Ascaris suum (pig roundworm). RNAcentral's name for it is "asu-miR-86-3p". Its record names the gene asu-miR-86-3p. Lineage: Eukaryota; Metazoa; Nematoda; Chromadorea; Rhabditida; Ascarididae. The record is from miRBase by way of RNAcentral.
CUGGGCUGAGGUUCACUUACG